Molecule: ribosomal RNA, 273 nt
Filed under: Arsenophonus endosymbiont of Bemisia tabaci Asia II 3
Lineage: Bacteria; Pseudomonadati; Pseudomonadota; Gammaproteobacteria; Enterobacterales; Morganellaceae
Description: partial 23S ribosomal RNA
Rfam family: Bacterial large subunit ribosomal RNA
Source: RNAcentral
GAACCUGAAACCGUGUACGUACAAGCAGUGGGAGCACCCGAAAGGGUGUGACUGCGUACCUUUUGUAUAAUGGGUCAGCGACUUAUAUUCUGUAGCAAGAUUAACCGGAUAGGGGAGCCGUAGGGAAACCGAGUCUUAACUGGGCGUUAAGUUGCAGGGUAUAAACCCGAAACCUGGUGAUCUAGCCAUGGGCAGGUUGAAGGUUGGGUAACACUAACUGGAGGACCGAACCGACUAAUGUUGAAAAAUUAGCGGAUGACUUGUGGCUGGGGG